Molecule: unclassified non-coding RNA, 273 nt
Filed under: fungal sp.
Lineage: Eukaryota; Fungi
Description: partial internal transcribed spacer region
Rfam family: Eukaryotic small subunit ribosomal RNA (bases 1-46)
Source: RNAcentral
AAGUCGUAACAAGGUUUCCGUAGGUGAACCUGCGGAAGGAUCAUUAUUGAAUUUCAUAAACUGGCUUUCCUUCUAGUGCUGGCGCUUUACCGCGCAAGUGCACAUUUAGGGAGUCUUUUUAUUAAUCCAAUCUACACCUGUGAACUAUGAGAGUGUAGCCUUUUUCGAGAGGCAUGACUCUUCUUUUUUUUACUACAAACACUAUAUAUAUCAAACAGAAAUCAAACAUUAUAAUAAAUAAUACAACUUUCAACAACGGAUCUCUUGGCUCUC